This 486-nucleotide ribosomal RNA is filed under the name uncultured bacterium. RNAcentral's name for it is "partial 16S ribosomal RNA". It matches the Rfam family "Bacterial small subunit ribosomal RNA", at positions 30 to 507 of the family's 1533-position model. The record is from RNAcentral.
AUUGAACGCUGGCGACAUGCCUUACACAUGCAAGUCGAACGGCAGCACGGGUGCUUGCACCUGGUGGCGAGUGGCGAACGGGUGAGUAAUACAUCGGAACAUGUCCUGUAGUGGGGGAUAGCCCGGCGAAAGCCGGAUUAAUACCGCAUACGAUCUACGGAUGACAGCGGGGGACCUUCGGGCCUCGCGCUAUAGGGUUGGCCGAUGGCUGAUUAGCUAGUUGGUGGGGUAAAUGCAUACCAAGGCGACGCUCAGUAGCUGGUCUGAGAGGACGACUAGCCACACUGGGACUGAGGCAGGGCCCAGACUCCUACGGGAGGCAGCAGUGGGGAAUUUUGGACAAUGGGCGAAAGCCUGAUCCAGCAAUGCCGCGUGUGUGAAGAAGGCCUUCGGGUUGUAAAGCACUUUUGUCCGGAAAGAAAUCCUUGGCCCUAAUACGGUCGGGGGAUGACGGUACCGGAAGAAUAAGCACCGGCUAACUACGUG